Molecule: ribosomal RNA, 780 nt
Filed under: human gut metagenome
Description: bacterial SSU rRNA
Rfam family: Bacterial small subunit ribosomal RNA
Source: RNAcentral
ACUACGUGAGGACCGAAGCCUGGGGACCGACAGGGAGAAGAUACCGCGGUAGUCCACGCCGUAACGGUGGAUGCCGGAUGUGGGACCAUUCCACGUCUCCCGUGUCGGAGCCAACGCGUUAAGCAUCCCGCCUGGGGAGUACGGCCGCAAGGCUAAAACUCAAAGAAAUUGACGGGGGCCCGCACAAGCGGCGGAGCAUGCGGAUNAAUUCGAUGCAACGCGAAGAACCUCACCUGGGCUUGACAUGUUCCCGACAGCCCCAGAGAUGGGGCCUCCAUUCGGGGCGGGUUCACAGGUGGUGCAUGGUCGUCGUCAGCUCGUGUCGUGAGAUGUUGGGUUAAGUCCCGCAACGAGCGCAACCCUCGCCCUGUGUUGCCAGCACGUCGUGGUGGGAACUCACGGGGGACCGCCGGGGUCAACUCGGAGGAAGGUGGGGAUGACGUCAGAUCAUCAUGCCCCUUACGUCCAGGGCUUCACGCAUGCUACAAUGGCCGGUACAACGGGAUGCGACACUGUGAGGUGGAGCGGAUCCCUUAAAACCGGUCUCAGUUCGGAUUGGAGUCUGCAACCCGACUCCAUGAAGGCGGAGUCGCUAGUAAUCGCGGAUCAGCAACGCCGCGGUGAAUGCGUUCCCGGGCCUUGUACACACCGCCCGUCAAGUCAUGAAAGUGGGUAGCACCCGAAGCCGGUGGCCCAACCUUUUUGGGGGGAGCCGUCUAAGGUGAGACUCGUGAUUGGGACUAAGUCGUAACAAGGUAGCCGUACCGGAAGGUGCGGCUG